RNAcentral lists this ribosomal RNA (450 nucleotides) under uncultured bacterium. Its description in RNAcentral is "bacterial SSU rRNA". It matches the Rfam family "Bacterial small subunit ribosomal RNA", at positions 335 to 801 of the family's 1533-position model. The record is from RNAcentral.
ACUCCUACGGGAGGCAGCAGUGGGGAAUAUUGCACAAUGGGCGCAAGCCUGAUGCAGCAACGCCGCGUGAGCGAUGAAGGCCUUCGGGUCGUAAAGCUCUGUCCUCAAGGAAGAAUAAAUGACGGUACUUGAGGAGGAAGCCCCGGCUAACUACGUGCCAGCAGCCGCGGUAAUACGUAGGGGGCAAGCGUUAUCCGGAAUCACUGGGCGUAAAGGGUGCGUAGGCGGUUUUUCAAGUCAGAAGUGAAAGGCUAUGGCUCAACCAUAGUAAGCUUUUGAAACUGUUAAACUUGAGUGCAGGAGAGGAAAGUGGAAUUCCUAGUGUAGAGGUGAAAUUCGUAGAUAUUAGGAGGAACACCAGUGGCGAAGGCGACUUUCUGGACUGUAACUGACGCUGAUGCACGAAAGCGUGGGUAGCGAACAGGAUUAGAUACCCUGGUAGCACAGGAG